Molecule: ribosomal RNA, 504 nt
Filed under: uncultured Glomeromycotina
Lineage: Eukaryota; Fungi; Glomeromycota
Description: SSU rRNA
Rfam family: Eukaryotic small subunit ribosomal RNA
Source: RNAcentral
AGCAGCCGCGGUAAUUCCAGCUCCAAUAGCGUAUAUUAAAGUUGUUGCAGUUAAAAAGCUCGUAGUUGAAUCUCAGGCCUGGCUGGACGGUCCGCCCUUCGGGUGAGUACUGUCUGUGGUCGGGUCCUACCUUCUGGCGAAGCGUCAUGGCCUUAACCGGCCGUGGCGGGGAACCAGGACUUUUACUGUGAAAAAAUUAGAGUGUUCAAAGCAGGCAAUCGCUUGGAUACAUUAGCAUGGAAUAAUGGAAUAGGACAAUGGUUCUAUUUGUUGGUUUCUAGGACCGUUGUAAUGAUUAAUAGGGAUAGUUGGGGGCAUUAGUAUUCAAUUGUCAGAGGUGAAAUUCUUGGAUUUAUUGAAGACUAACUACUGCGAAAGCAUUUGCCAAGGAUGUUUUCAUUAAUCAAGAACGAAAGUUAGGGGAUCGAAGACGAUCAGAUACCGUCGUAGUCUUAACCAUAAACUAUGCCGACUAGGAAUCGGGCGAUGUUGAAAAAAUGACGC